RNAcentral lists this ribosomal RNA (393 nucleotides) under uncultured bacterium. Its description in RNAcentral is "bacterial SSU rRNA". It matches the Rfam family "Bacterial small subunit ribosomal RNA", at positions 28 to 422 of the family's 1533-position model. The record is from RNAcentral.
GACGAACGCUGGUGGCGUGCUUAACACAUGCAAGUCGAGCGGUAAGGCCCUUUCGGGGGUACACGAGCGGCGAACGGGUGAGUAACACGUGGGUGACCUGCCCUCAGCUCUGGGAUAAGCCUGGGAAACCGGGUCUAAUACUGGAUAUGACUCCAUGACGCAUGUUGUGGGGUGGAAAGCCUCGUGCGGCUGAGGACGGGCCCGCGGCCUAUCAGCUUGUUGGUGGGGUGAUGGCCUACCAAGGCGACGACGGGUAGCCGGCCUGAGAGGGCGACCGGCCACACUGGGACUGAGACACGGCCCAGACUCCUACGGGAGGCAGCAGUGGGGAAUCUUGCGCAAUGGGCGAAAGCCUGACGCAGCGACGCCGCGUGAGGGAUGACGGCCUGGUGU